ACCCGAGAGCGAAGAAGAAAAGAGAGAGAGAAAAAAAAAAGGGAAGGGAAGGGACAAAAUUAAAUGGCGACUCAGGCGACCCACAAGCCCUUCCAUGGCUGCUUCUUCUUCCUCCCACACAGCGACACGAAUUGAAGAUAUUUGAAUUCUUUCUACACUCACAUUUAUGAUUUUCCCGUUCUUGUUGGAUCCUACUAGAUUUUGACUCGAUCUUCAGGCAGAUCUGAUCGCGAAAAUUCCCUAUUUCCAGCUAAUUUUCCCGUAGCGUUGGCUUUUUUUUUUUUUGUGAUCGGAGAUGGAGGCACUGACGGAGCUUUGUGACAUUAUAGCAGAGAAUCCGAAGCAAUUCUCGGAGAAGUUAGCUUGGAUAUGCGGUCGUUGUCCACAAACGGAAUGGCUUCUCGCUGAUUCUCCCAGGGUUUCUCGGAGUCAUCUCAACGCGGUUUUAGCCGUUGCUCGGAUCAUCUCCAAAAAUCCAGAAUCAAUCGAUAAUCGUGCCAAAUCCGUCGUGAAUGAGUUUCUCAGCGCUAUACCUGCAUCGUUCCGCCGUUCCUUCUGGCCGCAUUCGUUUCCUUCGCAGUCGAUCUCUUCGUUUUAUUGUGAUUUCUUGAGUUAUCUUUCGUGUGCGGCGGAUCUAUCGCCGGAAUUUGGUACCGAGGUUGCUAGGUUUACAGGGGAAGUUGUGAUAGCCGCUAUUGCACCGAGUUCUGGUGUGAGCGACGGGGAUCCAGCAAUUUCUAAGGCUUUUUUGGUCGCACUUUCUCAGAAUUUUCCGUCGAUUCUGCAAUCUGAUGGGGAUAAGUUGAUUUUAAUGCUGCUUGAUCAGUUUGUUGUGAACCGUGCUCCUGCCUCUCCCAAGGACCAGCGGCAACAGAACUCGGCUAACUCUGAAACUGAAACCUCGUCGUCUCAGGGCUCUAGUCCUGGCGACGAUGGAACUAGCCAUGGUUCCAAUGUAUCCUCUAAGAGUUCAUCGUCUGUAGUGGUGGAUGGGGGUAGUAUUGUAUGGAAGAUUGGUGUUGAUCAGCUGAGCUUUGGAUUUAGCGAGGGGAGUGGAGGUGCUAACCCUGUUUUUAGACAACUAGUGGCUUCUUUUGAAGACGAAUCCAUUGAGAGCUUGGAGAAGCAAGAGAUUGCCUUUAGAUUGAUAACCCAUAUUUUGGAGAAAGUUAAAAUUGAUUCCAAACUUCAGGAUCAAGUGAGAAUUAUAGCCAAGAGGAAGCUUCAGACCAUGUCUGCAUUUCUGAAGUCAACAAAGCGAGACUGGAACGAACAAGGCCCAGUUCUGAAAACUAGAGUCAAUGCAAUGCUGUCUGUUUAUCAGGCUGCAGCUAAAAUGAAAAUCAAGAGCCUGGUGUCUCUUGAAACAGAUGGAAAAACUUCUAAAAGGUUGGUCCUGGAGACGCUUGCAUUGCUUUUAGAUGCUGCAGAUGCCUGCUUGACAUCUGUGUGGCGGAAAAUGAAGGCCUGUGAAGAACUGUUCGAUUCUCUGCUUUCUGGGAUUGCGAAGAUUGCAGUGGCAAGAGGAGGGCAGCCACUUCGCGGGUUGCUCAUCCGACUUAAACCACUGGUACUGGCUGUCUGUGCAAAGUGUCUCUUGGAACAGCCAGAUACUUGGGUUGGCAAUCAAGGGGCUAUGCUUGAGAGCGUAUUUAAGACUAGUUGUGAGAUUAUUGAAUCUGCCUGGGCCAAGGACCGGGCUCCAGUGGACAACUUCAUUUCGGGGUUAGCUUCAAGUAUUCGUGAAAGAAAUGAUUAUGAAGAACAGGUUGAUAGAGAGAAGCAAGUACCUGCUGUACAGCUUAAUGUGAUUCGGCUGCUAGCUGAUCUCAAUGUUGCUGUUAAGAAGCCGGAAGUAGCUGACAUGAUUUUACCACUUUUUAUUGAAAGCCUGGAAGAGGGUGAUGCUUCGAGUCCUAGCUUUUUGCGACUCCAACUUCUUGAUGCUGUUUCUAGGAUAGCAACAUUAGGGUUUGAUAAGUCUUACCGUGAGACAGUAGUUCUGAUGACCAGAAGUUAUUUGAGCAAAUUAUCGAGUGUAGGAUCUGUAGAAAGCAAAACGUCAGCACCGGAAGCCACAACCGAGCGUGUAGAGACUCUUCCUGCAGGUUUUCUUACAAUUGCCAGUGGUCUUAUGGAUACAAAAUUGCGUUCGGACUACCGCCAUCGUUUGCUUUCCUUGUGUUCAGAUGUAGGCUUGGCUGCUGAGUCCAAAAGUGGAGGGAGUGGUGUGGAUUUUUUAGGGCCUCUUCUUCCCGCUGUUGCAGAAAUAUGUUCAGAUUUUGAUCCUACUACGGAUGUGGAACCUUCACUUUUGAAGUUGUUUCGCAAUCUCUGGUUUUAUAUAGCCCUCUUUGGCUUAGCACCUCCUAUUGUGAAAACUCCUACACCACCCCUGAAGUCAACCUCCAAUUCAGUGAACAGUGUGGGAAGCAUGAGUGCAACUGCUUUGCAAGCUGUGGGAGGUCCUUACUUGUGGAACACUCAGUGGGCCCUAGCUGUUCAGCGAAUUGCUCAAGGCACUCCCCCCCUUGUCGUCAGUUCAGUAAAAUGGCUUGAAGACGAAUUAGAACUCAAUGCGCUUCACAAUCCUGGUAGCCGCCGAGGAAAUGGAAAUGAGAAAGUAGCUUCAACCCAGAGACUUGCUCUUUCAACUGCCUUAGGUGGCAGAGUUGACGUUGCAGCAAUGAACACAAUCUCAGGGGUGAAGGCUACCUAUUUGCUUGCUGUGGCUUUUUUGGAGAUCAUACGUUUUAUUAGCAACGGGGGUAUCCUUAAUGGUGACUCAAGUGUAUCUGCCUCUAGAAGUGCCUUCAGUUGUGUGUUCGAAUAUCUGAAAACUCCAAAUCUUACUCCUGCUGUUUCCCAGUGUUUGACGGCAAUUGUGCAUAGAGCCUUUGAAACAGCAGUCUCAUGGCUGGAAGAUCGAAUAUCUCUUACUGGGAAAGAUGCUCGUAAUAGAGAACUGACAACAUAUGCACAUGCAUGUUUCCUCAUAAAGAGCAUGUCACAGAGAGAUGAGCACGUCCGAGAUAUCUCUGUGAACCUGUUGACUCAGCUACGAGACAAAUUUCCUCAGGUCCUCUGGCAUUCGUCAUGUCUGGAUAGUUUGCUGUUUUCAGUUCAUGACAAUACACCUUCAACUGUUGUCAAUGAUCCUGCUUGGACUGCUGCUGUUCGAUCCUUAUACCAGAAAGUUGUACGAGAAUGGAUCAUAAUAUCACUUUCAUAUGCUCCAUGCACCAGUCAGGGUUUGCUUCAGGAUAAGCUGUGCAAAGCAAACACAUGGCAGCGAGCACAAACUACAACUGAUGUGGUUUCUCUUCUAUCUGAGAUAAAAAUUGGAACUGGAAAAAAUGAACUUUGGUCUGGGAUAAGAACUGCUAAUAUCCCAGCUGUGAUGGCUGCAGCAGCUGCAGCGUCAGGGGCAAACUUAAAAGUUUCUGAAGCCUUUAACUUGGAAGUACUUGGUACUGGUGUAGUCAGUGCAACGGUAAAGUGCAACCAUGCUGGAGAAAUUGCUGGCAUGCGAAGGUUGUACAACAGUAUUGGUGGAUUUCAAUCUGGCUCGACACCUAGUGGUUUUGGUGGUGGCCUUCAAAGAUUAAUAUCUGGAGCAUUUUCCCAGGCACCACAACCAGAAGAUGAUUCAUUUAAUGAGAUGUUAAUUGCCAGGUUUGUGCGUCUUCUUCAGCAAUUUGUAAAUACUGCUGAAAAGGGUGGAGAGGUGGAGAAGUCGCAAUUCCGAGAAACUUGUUCCCAAGCAACUGCAUUACUUCUGUCAAACCUGGGUGGUGAGUCGAAAACAAAUGUCGAAGGCUUUUCUCAAUUACUGCGUCUCCUUUGUUGGUGUCCAGCAUAUAUAUCUACUCCAGAUGCUAUGGAAACUGGAAUUUUUAUAUGGACCUGGUUGGUCUCUGCUGCUCCUCAACUGGUAUCUCUUGUCCUUGCCGAGCUUGUUGAUGCAUGGAUAUGGACAAUUGAUACAAAGCGAGGACUCUUUGCAUCUGAUGUACGAUACUCUGGCCCAGCUGCAAAAUUAAGACCCCAUCUUUCCCCAGGGGAACCAGAAGAUCCACCGGAAAGUGACCCUGUUGAGCAGAUAGUCGCUCACAGACUGUGGCUUGGAUUUUUGAUUGAUCGUUUUGAGGUUGUUCGACAUAAUAGUGCGGAGCAACUGUUGCUGCUAGGUCGGAUGUUACAACGGAGUACAGACCUUGACUGGUGCUUUACUCGCCACCCUGCAGCUGCUGGUACCUUUUUUUCUUUGAUGCUCCUUGGACUGAAAUUCUGCUCAUGCCAAACACAAGGCAAUAUGCAGAAAUUUAGAUCUGGACUCCAGCUCUUAGAAGAUCGAAUCUACAGGACGUCUUUAGGCUGGUUUGCUCAUCAGCCAGAGUGGUAUGAUGUAAAUAUUCCAAAUUUUUGUCAGAGCGAGGCUCUAUCUGUUUCAGUUUUUGUUCACUUUUUAUCAAACGAGCUAUCAGAAUCAAGUCAAUCUGAUUCCAAAGGAAAACCUCGUGAAAGUGGGAAUUUGAUUGAUGUGACUGAUCAGUAUCAUCCUGUCUGGGGUGAGAUGGACAACUACACUGUGGGAAAAGAAAAAAGGAAGCAGUUGCUUUUAAUGCUCUGCCAGCAUGAAGCUGACAGGCUUGACGUUUGGGCACAACCUAUUAGUUCAAAGGACAGUCCAUAUUCGCGGCUUAAAAUAAGCUCUGAGAAAUGGACCGAAUAUGCUAAAACGGCCUUUGCAGUGGAUCCUCGCAUUGCUUUAUCAGUCGCCUCAAGAUUUCCGGCAAAUGCUUCUGUAAAAUCUGAAGUCACUCAGCUGGUUCAGACAAAUAUAGUAGAUCUUCGUACAAUUGCUGAGGCAUUGCCGUAUUUUGUUACACCAAAAAACGUUGAAGAGAACUCAGUGCUGUUGCAGCAGCUACCGCACUGGGCUGCUUGUUCAAUUACACAGGCUCUUGAGUUCCUCACGCCUGCUUAUAAGGGACAUCCACGUGUCAUGGCAUAUGUCCUACGAGUUUUAGAGUCCUACCCUCCUGAGCGAGUUACUUUUUUCAUGCCGCAGUUGGUGCAGUCUUUGCGCUAUGAUGAAGGGAGGCUAGUUGAAGGGUAUCUUCUUAGAGCUACCCAAAGAAGUGACAUAUUUGCCCAUAUUCUCAUUUGGCAUUUGCAGGGUGAGAAUGUUCAGGAAACUCCGAAGGAUGGUUCUAUCGAUAAGAAUGCGGCAUUCCAAGAAAUUUUGCCAGUGGUUCGGCAGCAUAUCAUUGAUGGUUUCAGUCCCAAUGCCUUGGACAUGUUCACUAGAGAGUUUGACUUCUUUGACAAGGUUACUUCUAUUUCUGGGGUGCUAUUUCCUCUUCCAAAGGAAGAACGCAGAGCCGGUAUUAGGAGGGAGUUGGAGAAAAUUGAAAUGCAGGGAGAUGACCUUUAUUUGCCAACUGCUCCUAACAAGCUUGUUAGGGGUAUCCGUGUAGACAGUGGAAUACCCUUACAAUCAGCUGCCAAAGUCCCUAUUAUGAUAACUUUUAACGUUGUUGAUCGUGAUGGUGACCACAAUGAUGUAAAACCACAGGCUUGCAUUUUCAAGGUUGGAGAUGAUUGCCGGCAAGAUGUUCUUGCCCUUCAAGUGAUAUCUCUUCUUAGAGACAUAUUUCAAGCGGCUGGUCUUAAUCUUUAUCUUUUUCCAUAUGGAGUACUCCCAACUGGUGCGGAGAGGGGCAUAAUUGAGGUUGUGCCUAAUACAAGAAGCAGAAGUCAAAUGGGUGAAACUACCGACGGGGGUUUGUAUGAGAUUUUUCAACAAGACUAUGGACCCGUCGGCUCAACCACCUUUGAAACAGCACGAGAGAACUUCCUCAUCAGCAGUGCCGGUUACGCAGUGGCUAGUCUUUUACUCCAGCCCAAAGACAGACACAAUGGAAAUCUCCUCUUCGAUGACGUGGGAAGACUUGUCCACAUCGACUUUGGUUUCAUUUUGGAAACUUCACCUGGUGGAAACAUGCGGUUCGAGAGUGCUCAUUUCAAACUGAGCCACGAAAUGACCCAGUUGCUAGAUCCGUCGGGUGUUAUGAAAAGCAAAACAUGGCAUCAGUUUGUGAGCUUGUGCGUGAAGGGGUACUUAGCUGCUCGGCGGCAGAUGGACGGAAUCAUCAGCACUGUUCAAAUGAUGCUAGAAAGUGGAUUGCCUUGCUUUAGCAGAGGAGAUCCAAUUGGUAAUCUUAGGAAAAGAUUUCACCCAGAAAUGAGCGAACGUGAAGCUGCACACUUCAUGAUUCAUGUAUGUACGGACGCAUAUAACAAGUGGACUACUGCUGGAUACGACUUGAUUCAGUAUUUGCAACAAGGCAUCGAGAAGUAAGAAGAACAAGAGGGACCUUAAUGAUAUCUGAAAUCAGAGUUAUAUAAUUUGCAGGGUUUUGCUAUGCACCAAAAAAAAAAAAAGAAGUAACAAAAGAGAAAGGUAGGAGUGUUGUGGUGUUGGGAUUUUGGAUAACUUGAGAUGCAAGCUAUUGUGAUUUGUAUGAUCUAUUGAUUAUUGUUGUUAUCAACUUUCAAUGGUUGAAAUGGUCACGUGUUUGUUGAUAAUUCCAUACGUUAUAAAACAA
RNA transcript from Arabidopsis lyrata subsp. lyrata, 6614 nucleotides. It is a transcript of the gene named phosphatidylinositol 4-kinase alpha 1, with no coding region annotated. The record is from RefSeq and is a predicted model, not a curated record. NCBI's taxonomy places the organism in Eukaryota, Viridiplantae, Streptophyta, Magnoliopsida, Brassicales, Brassicaceae. The transcript is spliced from 26 exons.